Molecule: ribosomal RNA, 253 nt
Filed under: uncultured bacterium
Lineage: Bacteria
Description: partial 16S ribosomal RNA
Rfam family: Bacterial small subunit ribosomal RNA
Source: RNAcentral
UACGGAGGGUGCGAGCGUUGUCCGGAAUCACUGGGCGUAAAGGGCGCGUAGGUGGCGCGGGCAUUCAACGGUGAAAGCUCGGGGCUCAACCCCGAGUCGGCCGUCGAUACUCCCGUGCUUGAGCACUGUAGAGGCAGAUGGAAUUCCGGGUGUAGCGGUGGAAUGCGUAGAGAUCCGGAAGAACACCGGUGGCGAAGGCGGUCUGCUGGGCAGUAGCUGACACUGAGGCGCGACAGCGUGGGGAGCAAACAGG